Molecule: ribosomal RNA, 422 nt
Filed under: uncultured Glomeromycotina
Lineage: Eukaryota; Fungi; Glomeromycota
Description: SSU rRNA
Rfam family: Eukaryotic small subunit ribosomal RNA
Source: RNAcentral
UGGUAUGCACUGGCUUUACUGAUUCCUCCUUCUUGACGAACCGUGAUGUCAUUAAUUUGGUGUUGCGGGAAAUCAGGACUGUUACUUUGAAAAAAUUAGAGUGUUUAAAGCAGGCUAACGCUUGAAUACAUUAGCAUGGAAUAAUGAAAUAGGACGUUAAUCCUAUUUUGUUGGUUUCUAGGAUCGACGUAAUGAUUAAUAGGGAUAGUUGGGGGCAUUAGUAUUCAAUUGUCAGAGGUGAAAUUCUUGGAUUUAUUGAAGACUAACUACUGCGAAAGCAUUUGCCAAGGAUGUUUUCAUUAAUCAAGAACGAAAGUUAGGGGAUCGAAGACGAUCAGAUACCGUCGUAGUCUUAACCAUAAACUAUGCCGACUAGGGAUCGGAUGAUGUUAAUUCUUUAAUGACUCAUUCGGCGCCUUACG